AGAAAAUGUGAAUGGAGAGAUUUGGUAGACCGCCAGACGGAGUGGACUUGGAGCGAGGGUCCGAGGAUCGGCUACGCUCGGAGGAGGUCGGCGGGGAACCAGUGGUCUGAACUGUGAGCUCCAACGUUGCACAUGGAUGGGAGAGUACGAGUAUCGAUGAGGAUGAAGAUGAUGAAGAUUGGAUUGAUGUUCAUCAUUCUUCAGAUGAAGAACAGCAGAAAGAGUUGGUGGAGAAGGUGAAGACCAUGCCCACAGAAGCACGCAAAGCAAAAGCAGCACUUGUCAGUGCUAGUCGCCUCCUCACACAGGAAGACUUCAAGAAAAUCCGACUGGCCCAGAUAGCUAAAGAGGUUGACCCUGCCCCUGGCAAAAGUCAGAAGAGGAAGAUUGAGGACAGCAGUGAUGACGAAAGCAAAGGAGAGCUGCUUUCACUGCGAGAUAUAGAACGGCUGCAUAAAAAGCCUAAAUCAGAUAAAGAAACUCGACUAGCAACAGCUAUGUUUUACAGCUUACUGACAACGGACAGAACACUCUAACAGCAGUCAAUGGCAACGAUCUCUAUUUCUCCUUGGCCUUUUCUCCUUGGAGCAACGGAGGAUGAGAGGUGACCUGAUAAAGAAACUAUGAAGAUCCAUUGCUACUGCAGACUCACCUUCUGUUUCUUUCGACGGUUUGCUUUGCGGGAUGCUCUCUUGAAGAGAAAGAAACAGUUGAAAUAAGGAAGUAAUAACAAAACACAAUAGAAACCAAAUAUUGCAACCAAGAAGAUAUGUGACUCCUGCAUUACAGAGCGUUUGCAUUCUCAGGAAGUGGCCCGAAGUCUGAAGCUGCAUAUGCAUAUGCGUCAAGAAACAGGAGUUGGGAAAAAUUAUUUAUAUAUAUUUUUCACAAAUUCUGUAAGAGUUCUUUGAAUUCUGUAUAAAUGAAUUUUUGUUACUCAAGUGGCUGUAAUGUGGGGAUUGUUUAUAUUAUUGUUAAUAGUUUAUACAG
Long non-coding RNA from Mobula hypostoma (lesser devil ray), 990 nucleotides. RefSeq lists it as uncharacterized. Lineage: Eukaryota; Metazoa; Chordata; Chondrichthyes; Myliobatiformes; Myliobatidae. The record is from RefSeq and is a predicted model, not a curated record. The transcript has 6 exons.